Molecule: long non-coding RNA, 397 nt
Organism: Pieris brassicae (large cabbage white)
Lineage: Eukaryota; Metazoa; Arthropoda; Insecta; Lepidoptera; Pieridae
Exons: 3
Source: RefSeq, a predicted model, not a curated record
GUUAAUUAAUUUUUCUUAGUGUCUAAUUCUUGUAUCAUUGAAAUUUAAUGGGUAAAUGCAUUUAUUAUAAACUAACAUCUUAACAGAAUAGUUACACAAUGACAGAAGUAUUAUUAAUAUAGACUAAGGUUAUAAUAGUCGGUGCUAAUCUCUCAGGAUUAUUUAAUUGGACAUGAUGUGUUCCUGGGACAAAAUGGCUCUCAAAUUUCGCAUUAUUCCUUUCAACCACUUCUCGCAUUUCCACAGAAUACUUGUCUGAUGCGUAAGGGAAUCUUUCCACUACUUGGUUCAAGUCGUAGUCAUCGUAAAUAAGACUGUCCACUGCUAUAUAGAAGUCGACAUCAUCUGGAAAUACGCAGGCGAAUCGCAUCCCAGCUAUGGAACCCAUGGAAUGUCC